RNAcentral lists this ribosomal RNA (494 nucleotides) under uncultured bacterium. RNAcentral describes it as "partial 16S ribosomal RNA". It matches the Rfam family "Bacterial small subunit ribosomal RNA", at positions 28 to 507 of the family's 1533-position model. The record is from RNAcentral.
GACGAACGCUGGCGGCGCGCUUAACACAUGCAAGUCGAACGGAAAGGCCUGCUUUCCCUUGUGGAUUGCGGGUACUCGAGUGGCGAACGGGUGAGUAACACGUGAGUGAUCUGCCCCCAACUUGGGUAUAAGCCUGGGAAACUGGGUCUAAUUCCCGAUAGGACUGCAGGGUGGUGCCUGUGGUGGAAAACGAUUUUCUAGUGGUUGGGGAUAAGCUCGCGGCCUAUCAGCUUGUUGGUGGGGUAAUGGCCUACCAAGGCGGCGACGGGUAGCCGGCCUGAGAGGGUGGACGGCCACAUUGGGACUGAGAUACGGCCCAGACUCCUACGGGAGGCAGCAGUGGGGAAUAUUGCACAAUGGGCGGAAGCCUGAUGCAGCGACGCCGCGUGGGGGAUGACGGCCUUCGGGUUGUAAACUCCUUUCGACCGCGAGGAAGCCACCUGGUUGGAAGGGUGGUGACGGUAGUGGUAGAAGAAGCACCGGCUAACUACGUG